AAUGUGUAGAGAUGUGGAGGAAUACCGGAUGGCGAAGGGCAGCCCCCUGGGAUAACACUGACGCUCAUGCACGAAAGCGUGGGGAGCAAACAGGAUUAGAUACCCGGGUAAGUCCACGCCCUAAACGAUGUCUACUAGUUGUCGGGUCUUAAUUGACUUGGUAACGCAGCUAACGCGUGAAGUAGACCGCCUGGGGAGUACGGUCGCAAGAUUAAAACUCAAAGGAAUUGACGGGGACCCGCACAAGCGGUGGAUGAUGUGGAUUAAUUCGAUGCAACGCGAAAAACCUUACCUACCCUUGACAUGGCUGGAAUCCUUCAGAGAUGAGGGAGUGCUCGAAAGAGAACCAGUACACAGGUGCUGCAUGGCUGUCGUCAGCUCGUA
This 384-nucleotide ribosomal RNA is filed under the name uncultured Glaciimonas sp. Its description in RNAcentral is "bacterial SSU rRNA". It matches the Rfam family "Bacterial small subunit ribosomal RNA", at positions 685 to 1064 of the family's 1533-position model. The record is from RNAcentral. Lineage: Bacteria; Pseudomonadati; Pseudomonadota; Betaproteobacteria; Burkholderiales; Oxalobacteraceae.